This 117-nucleotide ribosomal RNA is filed under the name Lonepinella koalarum. RNAcentral describes it as "partial 23S ribosomal RNA". It matches the Rfam family "Bacterial large subunit ribosomal RNA", at positions 1 to 110 of the family's 2925-position model. The record is from RNAcentral. Lineage: Bacteria; Pseudomonadati; Pseudomonadota; Gammaproteobacteria; Pasteurellales; Pasteurellaceae.
GUUGUAUGGUUAAGUGACUAAGCGUACACGGUGGAUGCCUAGGCAAUCAGAGGCGAAGAAGGACGUGCUAAUCUGCGAAAAGCUUGGAUGAGUUGAUAAGAAGCGUUUAAUCCAAGA